RNAcentral lists this long non-coding RNA (1235 nucleotides) under Felis catus (domestic cat). RNAcentral's name for it is "lncRNA (ENSFCAG00000046097.2)". The record is from RNAcentral. Lineage: Eukaryota; Metazoa; Chordata; Mammalia; Carnivora; Felidae.
GGGUGGAGUUUUGUAGCACUGAUGCUGCCCUGUUGAAACCAGGUGGAAGGGAAGGAGACAGGCGCUGUUCCUGCUUCAUCGUGGUUCAGCUAUGUUAGCGUUGGUGUUGGUGUUGGAUUUCUCACCUUUUACCCUAACAUAUCUCAAAAGUUUAAUAUCUGUCCUGCAGGUCAACAUGGCUGCCAGAGCAUUUUCUUCUUUCCCAGAAGUGCCCUCCAUGAGGUACCCAUGGGCUGCCCUUUAUGACCAUUCAUGAGCUCUGGGCCACCCCCAUAUUCUCCAUCCUGGUGGCCUUUGGGACCUCACCCUCCAUCUCCAUCUCCACCUCCACCAUUUGAGACUUUAGCCGAUCCAGAAGCUGGUGUCACUCCCAUGAGUCACAACAACAAGCACUCUACCAAAAAUGCCAAGAAGGACCAGGAAAAUGCUGGGGCCAUUUUCAGUUGGCAGUGUGAAUCCAUGGGGACCUCCUCUGUUAACUGGAAGAUUCUGCACACCCUGCCUACCCUAGAGGCCACCCUACGGGCUCCUGGGCACAUCCACCUCCUGAACCUUGGUGGCCCUGGGGACUACCCUAAACCCCUCCACCUACACCACUUGGUAAGAUGAUCUGAGCAGUAUGUGUUGACUUGCAAAACACAUUCAUCUAAUUUUUGUUGUUGUGAGUCUUGGAGAAAGUGCAGAGGUGUUACCACCAGGCAUUAUAAUGCAAGAGAAAUGUGUCUGCCGCCAUUACCACAUUCCUCGAGUGUCUCAUGAUCCACAUAUCAUCUUUGUGUCAUUUCUCCCACUCUGUGUUGGUACAUAUGUCUCUUGUGGAGAUGGAAUGGGGCCAUAUACAGAAAAGCAGGCAUGGCGCUUCAGCAGAUGUGUGCCAUACACAGUCCACGUGCUGGGCGGUGGGAGGCAUGAGGCUCAGCCUAACGUAUAUCUAUCCAGUUGAGCCCUCACUCAUCCACAGUUGUUUGAUGAGUCAUGAAAGCAUCUGAACCAGGGCUAUAACAGGUCUUCAUCAAAGUUUAAGGGAUGGUUCUCCCCUUCACCUUGGGAUCACCUGAAGCAUGUGGGAUACCCUCUGCAUGUGAUUUGGGAUGUGAUUGGGCCAAAGAGUUUAAGUUGUUUGAGGAAUGAGGUGAUGGUUUUUGUUUUUAGGUUUUUUUUUUUUUUUUUUUUUUUGUCUCUGCACAAUCUACUCCAAUCAAAAUAAACCUCCAUCCCUUCUAGGCUCUUUUGCA